GACGAACGCUGGCGGCGUGCUUAACACAUGCAAGUCACGGGGGCGUCGCAAGAGCAACCGGCGAACGGGUGCGUAACACGUGAGCAACCUGCCGAUCUGAGGGGGAGUAGCCGGCCCAACCGGCCGGGUAAUACCGCAUACGUUCUCGAGGGGGAGUCCUCUUGGGAAGAAACCUCCGGGGCAGAUCGAGGGGCUCGCGGCCUAUCAGCUAGUUGGCGGUGUAAUGGACCACCAAGGCUA
This 240-nucleotide ribosomal RNA is filed under the name uncultured bacterium. RNAcentral's name for it is "partial 16S ribosomal RNA". It matches the Rfam family "Bacterial small subunit ribosomal RNA", at positions 28 to 276 of the family's 1533-position model. The record is from RNAcentral.